This 497-nucleotide ribosomal RNA is filed under the name uncultured bacterium. RNAcentral describes it as "partial 16S ribosomal RNA". It matches the Rfam family "Bacterial small subunit ribosomal RNA", at positions 28 to 507 of the family's 1533-position model. The record is from RNAcentral.
GACGAACGCUGGCGGCGUGCCUAAUACAUGCAAGUUGAGCGCUGAAGGUUGGUACUUGUACCAACUGGAUGAGCAGCGAACGGGUGAGUAACGCGUGGGGAAUCUGCCUUUGAGCGGGGGACAACAUUUGGAAACGAAUGCUAAUACCGCAUAAAAACUUUAAACACAAGUUUUAAGUUUGAAAGAUGCAAUUGCAUCACCCAAAGAUGAUCCCGCGUUGUAUUAGCUAGUUGGUGAGGUAAAGGCCCACCCAGGCGAUGAUACAUAGCCGACCUGAGAGGGUGGUCGGCCACAUUGGGACUGAGACACGGCCCAAACUCCUACGGGAGGCAGCAGUAGGGAAUCUUCGGCAAUGGACGAAAGUCUGACCGAGCAACGCCGCGUGAGUGAAGAAGGUUUUCGGAUCGUAAAACUCUGUUGGUAGAGAAGAACGUUGGUGAGAGUGGAAAGCUCAUCAAGUGACGUUAACUACCCAGAAAGGGACGGCUAACUACGUG